GCUCUCUCUAGGCUGCUGCCUUGUUGUGAGAAGAGGUGGUGCUCCCUCCUCUGCACACAGUGAUUGCUGGCCCAAAAUAGCCCUGCACCUGCUCUGAGAUGCCUGCAAGAUAAUUUCAGCUUCCAAGGAAACUGCCCUGAUUGGUGUUGAUUUUUCAUGACCUCCCUUCAGGCGAACACCUGGAGAUAAGCACCUGAUCGUGGAGGUGCACCCUGGCGAGCUGAAGGCACGGAAGUAUGCAGCCUGGUGCUCCUAUCUCCUCCCAGGAAGGAAAGGCUCUGGCUCUGGGGCCCUCUACCCCACAGAGUGAAACCAUUACUGGAUCCAUCCUUUUGGCAACAUUCCUGGGAUUUGUCUCUUCCUUCUUGCAUCCAGAAUACCUGCUUGUCAAGACUCUUCUAGAUCUUACCCUAUAUACCUCCUGCCAGAGGUAUAUCACUGGCUAUUCAUUGGUAUCUUAUAUAAUAAAUUGGUUUUCAUAAAUAC
Molecule: long non-coding RNA, 486 nt
Filed under: Mustela putorius furo (domestic ferret)
Lineage: Eukaryota; Metazoa; Chordata; Mammalia; Carnivora; Mustelidae
Description: lncRNA (ENSMPUG00000031287.1)
Source: RNAcentral